UACUUUUGCAACCUUGAUUAUCAAAACGGUAAUCGAUACAUAAAAAUCAUUUACACAAAUAUUAGCAUG
Aequorivita sublithincola DSM 14238 is the source of this 69-nucleotide non-coding RNA. The record is from Rfam. Lineage: Bacteria; Pseudomonadati; Bacteroidota; Flavobacteriia; Flavobacteriales; Flavobacteriaceae.